RNAcentral lists this ribosomal RNA (1004 nucleotides) under Acinetobacter sp. M.pstv.15.3. Its description in RNAcentral is "bacterial SSU rRNA". It matches the Rfam family "Bacterial small subunit ribosomal RNA", at positions 37 to 1036 of the family's 1533-position model. The record is from RNAcentral. Lineage: Bacteria; Pseudomonadati; Pseudomonadota; Gammaproteobacteria; Moraxellales; Moraxellaceae.
UGGCGGCAGGCUUACACAUGCAGUCGAGCGGAGUGAUAGUGCUUGCACUAUCACUUAGCGGCGGACGGGUGAGUAAUGCUUAGGAAUCUGCCAUUUAGUGGGGGACAACAUUCCGAAAGGAAUGCUAAUACCGCAUACGUCCUACGGGAGAAAGCAGGGGAUCUUCGGACCUUGCGCUAAAUGAUGAGCCUAAGUCGGAUUAGCUAGUUGGUGGGGUAAAGGCCUACCAAGGCGACGAUCUGUAGCGGGUCUGAGAGGAUGAUCCGCCACACUGGGACUGAGACACGGCCCAGACUCCUACGGGAGGCAGCAGUGGGGAAUAUUGGACAAUGGGCGGAAGCCUGAUCCAGCCAUGCCGCGUGUGUGAAGAAGGCCUUAUGGUUGUAAAGCACUUUAAGCGAGGAGGAGGCUCUCUUAGUUAAUACCUAAGAUGAGUGGACGUUACUCGCAGAAUAAGCACCGGCUAACUCUGUGCCAGCAGCCGCGGUAAUACAGAGGGUGCGAGCGUUAAUCGGAUUUACUGGGCGUAAAGCGUGCGUAGGCGGCUUUUUAAGUCGGAUGUGAAAUCCCCGAGCUUAACUUGGGAAUUGCAUUCGAUACUGGGAAGCUAGAGUAUGGGAGAGGAUGGUAGAAUUCCAGGUGUAGCGGUGAAAUGCGUAGAGAUCUGGAGGAAUACCGAUGGCGAAGGCAGCCAUCUGGCCUAAUACUGACGCUGAGGUACGAAAAGCAUGGGGAGCAAACAGGAUUAGAUACCCUGGUAGUCCAUGCCGUAAACGAUGUCUACUAGCCGUUGGGGCCUUUGAGGCUUUAGUGGCGCAGCUAACGCGAUAAGUAGACCGCCUGGGGAGUACGGUCGCAAGACUAAAACUCAAAUGAAUUGACGGGGGCCCGCACAAGCGGUGGAGCAUGUGGUUUAAUUCGAUGCAACGCGAAGAACCUUACCUGGUCUUGACAUACUAGAAACUUUCCAGAGAUGGAUUGGUGCCUUCGGGAAUCUAGAUACA